RNAcentral lists this long non-coding RNA (1972 nucleotides) under Fragaria vesca (wild strawberry). Its description in RNAcentral is "long non-coding RNA (FVES_LNC003803)". The record is from RNAcentral. Lineage: Eukaryota; Viridiplantae; Streptophyta; Magnoliopsida; Rosales; Rosaceae.
UUUGUAUUCUCUGGUCACAACAGGUUCUGUAGUUUGUUACGUACCCUAAAAACAUUGCAAAUAUAUAUUAGAUGCCAACGAAAAAGGCAAGAUAUUGGUAACUAUUUUGGAUGCGAGCACAUGAACCUCAUCCUAACUGCAUUCCAUAAAAUUCCAACUUUCAUGAAUAAAUUAAGACGUCUGGAUAUUAGGCACUCAUCUUGAGUAGUAAGAUUCGAUACUUGAAUUGAGCCUAGCUUGUUGAACAUCAAGGUCCAUGGUUCUUUCUUUUUCUUUCUUUUCUUUUCUUUUUUGAUCACAUAGUUGAUAAUUUUAUCCAUUUAGAUAACAAGAUGAAGCACAAGUUUUAAGGGAAAAUGCCCAUUUAAUACUAAUUCAAACCCUUUAUUUCCCAUUCCAAUGAUAAUCUUUUGCAUUAGCUCAUUCCAAUAUAAGGUAACCAUUUUUAUGCCCAAAUGCACAAAUCUUUAUGCCCAAAUGCACAAAUCUUUACUAAAGUCUUAACAAACCAUAUUAUUUUAAGACUAUUUUGCCCCCACCUCUUCAACAUGAAAAGACUUGGCCGGAACCUCGGACUUCGGUCACCGGCCACCGGACACCGACCGCCGGACACCGGUCACCGGAUUUUCCCCGACCGCCGGAUUCCGGUCACCGAAUUUUCCUCUGUAACCAGUUACUGACUCCCAAUAAUCAGUUACUGACCAGUUAAUGACCCAUAAUAACCAGUUACUAACCCUCAGUAACCAGUUCUUGAUUAAUUACUGACACCCAGUAACCAGUUACUGACCCCCACUAACUUUUAGUUUUCAGUUACUGACACCCAGUAACCACUUAGUUUUCAGUUACUAACCCCUAAUAAUUUUGGUUACUGACCGAAGAGGAGAGAACUGAGGAACCGGCCCGACGGUGAGCACCCACAUUUCUUCUCUGGGCACCUACCUUCCUCGACGGUGAGCACACCGGCCUCCUCCACCGACUCCGGCGCACGCCGGCAAGUAACGCCCUUCCAGGGGAGUAGGAGAAGCGGUGAGGCAGCUUAGAGCCGGUUUCCAGGGCUGUGCGGUUGCGGGUGAUUUUGCGGAAGCAGACGAGGAGGGAGAAGGUGGUGGUGGCGGUGCUGGCGUGUGGGACGACGAGGUUGGGCUGCGGCAGAAGAGACGACGGCGACUGCGCCGGGGACCGGGUGAUUGGGCGCUGCAGAAGGUGGAUCGGGAAGAGAAGGUGGUCGGAGUUGCGGAAGCAGACGAGGAGGAAGAAGAGGAGGGAGAAGGCGGUGGUGGCAGCGUCGGCGAGUGGGACGACGAGGUUGGGCUGCGGCAGAAGAGACGACGGAGACGGCGCCAGGGACCGGGUGAUUAGGCGCGGUAGAAGGUGGAUCGGGAAGAGAAGGUGGUCGAAGGAGAUGAAGUAGCGGUGCUUGUGUGGGCAGCUAGCGUCGGAGGAGGAGGAAGAGGAGGAGAGAGAGAGAGAGAGAGAGAGAGAGAGAGAGAGAGAGNNNNNNNNNNNNNNNNNNNNAAGAAGAAGAAGAAGAAGAAGAAAGAAGAAGAAAGAGAUAAAAAACUGUGUGGAUUUAAUUAAACACAGGGUAAUAACGUCUUUUUCUCAAUAAUCAUUGGAAUGGGCACAAGGAUAAGACUUUAAUUAAAAUGGGAUUUAGUUUUCAAAUAUUUAGGCAUUAGGGCAUUUUCCCAAGUUUUAAUCGUAUGCACUGCUAAAAAACCUUAAGGUGAACAAUAUAAGUUCCUCUCCUAUAUUGUGCAAUUUUUGCACCACUUGUUGUGAGCGGCACUCUAUUUUUCGUUCGGACUUUUGUCUCAUCAAGUUUUCCAAAUUUUAACAAGAUCACCAUAUACUUCUUACAUAACCUUUUUGGAGUAUUAUUUUCUUCUGUUAGAACAAGUGAAUACCCUUUUCACUUCUUUUCUUCUUUUGUUAUGUUACGUACAUGGUUCUUAAGAAAAGAAAUGAAUCA